ACUCAAAUGAAUUGACGGGGGCCCGCACAAGCGGUGGAGUAUGUGGUUUAAUUCGAAGCAACGCGCAGAACCUUACCUGGGUUUGACAUCCACUGACCGAUGCAGAGAUGUAUCUUUCCCUUCGGGGACAGUGAGACAGGUGCUGCAUGGCUGUCGUCAGCUCGUGUCGUAAGAUGUUGGGUUAAGUCCCGCAACGAGCGCAACCCUUGUCCUUAGUUGCCAGCAUUAAGUUGGGCACUCUGAGGAGACUGCCGGUGUUAAACCGGAGGAAGGCGGGGAUGACGUCAAGUCCUCAUGGCCCUUACAUCCAGGGCUACACACGUACUACAAUGGCGGAGACAAAGGGUCGCGAAACCGCGAGGUGGAGCUAAUCCCAAAAACACCGUCUCAGUCCGGAUUGAAGUCUGCAACUCGACUUCAUGAAGCUGGAAUCGCUAGUAAUCGAAGAUCAGCACGCUUCGGUGAAUACGUUCCCGGGCCUUGUACACACCGCCCGU
This 497-nucleotide ribosomal RNA is filed under the name uncultured bacterium. RNAcentral describes it as "partial 16S ribosomal RNA". It matches the Rfam family "Bacterial small subunit ribosomal RNA", at positions 899 to 1397 of the family's 1533-position model. The record is from RNAcentral.